UUUGGCAAUGGUAGAACUCACACUGGUGAGGAAAUGGGAUCCGGUGGUUCUAGACUUGCCAACUA
RNAcentral lists this microRNA precursor (65 nucleotides) under Echinops telfairi (small Madagascar hedgehog). Its description in RNAcentral is "Ete-Mir-96-P2_pre stem-loop". It matches the Rfam family "mir-182 microRNA precursor family", at positions 8 to 71 of the family's 77-position model. The record is from RNAcentral. Lineage: Eukaryota; Metazoa; Chordata; Mammalia; Afrosoricida; Tenrecidae.